AUUCGAUUAUAUUUAAAACUCUUAUGGGUACGAAAGAAUUUAUAUGAUCGUUUAUUUUUAAAAACUACGAAACUUUCUCCGUACGAGCCAAUUCUAGCUUUGCCUUUUCUUUUCUCGGGGAAUCCAUUUUGUGUAAGGAAGAAGAAAAAUAAAAGAGAGAGAGAGCGAAGGAAAAAAGAGAAAGAAAAUAAAUGAAACAAAAAAGAAAGAAAAGAAAAAAAAAAGAGAAAACAAACAAAAAUGAAGAAAAGAAUGCAAAGAUCGAGAUAUUUUCGGAAGAACGGCAGAUAACAUAACUCGUGAUUAUGUGGAUUCGAGUUUGAAAACAAGUCGGUCGGGUUUAAGGAAAAAAAAAGCAAAAGCAAAAAAAAAAAGAAAAAAGAAAAAGAAAAAAGAAAGAAAAGAAAAGAAAAGAAAAAAAAGGAAAGAAGAAAAGAACAAAAAAAAAACAAAAAAUAGAAAAUUUGCAGACACUUCGAAAUUAUAUCGUAGUCGUUAUGCGUGUAUGAAAGAGAUCGCGGUGCUGAUCUCGAUAAAAAAAAAGAGAGAGAAAGAAAAACAGGAAGAAAGAGAGAGAGAGACAGAGAGAGAGAGAGAGAGAGAGAGACAGAGAAGCGCGAAUAAGUCUCGAGGAGUCGAAUGUAAACUCGACUUUAGGCAGGUAUACACGACGUUACCUCCUUGAGUGCGUACGUACGCAACGUGUGCGAAUGGGGGGGAAACCAGUCAGUCGUAUAAAACCGAGCGGCGAGUCGCGGCUCUAGUCAGUCUCUCACUCGGUCGGUACCUAACGCGAACGUCGUUUCUUUUCGUAAUAUUUUCUUCACGUUGUGCUUUCCCUGUAAUUCCCCCGUCCCCCCGUCCCCACCCCCUCAUUCUGCUCGUAUUCGCAUGCGCGUAGACAAAAUACGAAUACAAAUUUGACGUCGACUUCAGAAUUAAAAAAAAAGAAACAAAAAAAAAAAAAGAAAAAGAAAAAGAAGGAAAAAAAUAAAAAAACAGAAAAACGAAAAGGGAGAACACGGUAAAAUAGAAAUCUAUUCGUUCAUACUUUUUUUUUUUUCUUGUCGGUAUAUUUUUUUUUUUUUUCUUUUUUUUUCUUUUCUCUUUCUUUCUCGUUUUGUUUUUAAACGGAAUCAAAUAAUCAAGGAGGCGAGAGAAAAAGGAAUACGAGUAUUUUUAUUAUCGAUAAAGAAAGAGGAUCGAUAUCUAAGAGGUGGAUUCGUCGAUUGUGAUUUUAUGUGUUUAUGUGUUGUAUAUAUAUAUAUAUAUAUAUAUACACGUGAGUGACGUUCGUUUUGACUUUGGAAUAGAAAAAAAAGAAAGGAAAGAACAGAAAAGAAAAGAAGAGAUGAAGUCGUAAUAACAACAUCGGAUACAAAGUGAAUAAGAAGGAAAACAGAAAAGAAAAGAAAAGAGGAAAGAGAAAAGAAGAGAAUUCUACAUCGAAGAGGAACAAUUAUCGAUGGUCAUCCUUCAUCUUAAUUAGCCCCCAGGAAGAUUCUAGUUACUUCUUGCCUCUAUUUUCUAUCUCUAUAUCUAUCUAUUCAUCUAUCUGUCCAUCUAUCUAUGUAUCUAUCUUGUCUAUCCAUCUAUCUAUAUACACACACACAUAUAUAUAUAUAUAUAUAUAUAUAUAUAUCUUUCUUCCUUCCUUAUGAAAGAAAAAUCUGAUCAACGCUGUUGAAAGAUCUCUAAAGAAGACGUUAUUGCAAAGAGAAGAGAGAAUAUAUCGAGGUGUGCAUUUAACGAUCGAAAAAGGAGGAAGACUCGGAGAUCGUAAAGUAACGCUCUCUCUCUCGCUAUACAGAGAGAGAGAGAGAGAGAGAGAGAGAGAGAGAGAGAGAGAGAAAGUAAAAGAAAAAGAAGACGACGGUGGUCUCUAAAGCAAACGCGUCGAACGAAGUUAUUAACAACCACGUGUGUGGCGUCGGUGUGAAAGAGCGUUAAUUAACACCGUCGUCAUAUGGAAGCAUAAUGGCGGUCCGCUGAAAGACGGUCUCAGGAAAGAAAGAAAAGGAGAAAGAAAAUAAAGAGAUAAAAGAAGAAACAUAUAAGAAAGCAUUGGGCAAGGAAGAAGAUUAUGAGGCGCCCGUAGGAAAGGACCAUUUCUACCUUUACUUUCUACUGUUUUUCGUCGUAGAAAUAUGUCGAAAGGAGGAAAGAAAGCAACGUCGUUAUUCAACAUGAGAGCUACUCGAGCAGCCUCAGCGUUUCUCCUAUUCUACUCUGCAAUCGGAAAAACCAAGGGUGAAAAAGUUUGGUAGGAUGGACGACGACAAAGGAGAAAGAGAAAGAGAAAGAAUAAAAAUAAAAAUAAGAAGAGGAGGAAGGAGAAGAAAAAAAGAAAACGUGGCGAAAAGUAUGUCGCUAGUGUUGUUAACGGAUCUUUCCUUUUCACUCGGACACACUCUCGCUAGAACAUUGAAUAACACCAAAAGCUAAGGGAUGGGAGAGAGGGAGAGAGAGAGAGAGAGAGAGAGAAUUUCGACUUCUCGAAGGCAUCACGUCGCAACAACGUACUAUCACCUGAACUUUCCAUUAAAACUUCAAGUGUCUAUUGUCCAGCAAACUUAAAGCUCGACCGCAACAUAAAAAAUAAGUAAUUUUCAACGAAUGUUUCUGUGUUAUCAUCUUUACGAAUAUAUCAUGAUUCGUUCUUAAACACGAUAUAAAGAAAUUUCAAAGU
This is a long non-coding RNA of Vespa crabro (European hornet), 2689 nucleotides long. RefSeq lists it as uncharacterized. Lineage: Eukaryota; Metazoa; Arthropoda; Insecta; Hymenoptera; Vespidae. The record is from RefSeq and is a predicted model, not a curated record. The transcript has 3 exons.